This 657-nucleotide ribosomal RNA is filed under the name Glycomyces sp. EK-I80. RNAcentral's name for it is "bacterial SSU rRNA". It matches the Rfam family "Bacterial small subunit ribosomal RNA", at positions 31 to 695 of the family's 1533-position model. The record is from RNAcentral. Lineage: Bacteria; Bacillati; Actinomycetota; Actinomycetes; Glycomycetales; Glycomycetaceae.
UAACUGGCGGCGUGCUUCCCAUGCAAGUCGAACGGAAAGGCCCGCUUGCGGGUACUCGAGUGGCGAACGGGUGAGUAACACGUGGGUAACCUGCCCCCAUCUCUGGGAUAACCGUUGGAAACGGCGGCUAAUACCGGAUACGACCACCUUCCGCAUGGUUGGUGGUGGAAAGUUUUUGCGGUUGGGGAGGGACCCGCGGCCUAUCAGCUUGUUGGUGCGGUAGUGGCGCACCAAGGCUUUGACGGGUAGCCGGCCUGAGAGGGCGGUCGGUCACAUUGGGACUGAGAUACGGCCCAGACUCCUACGGGAGGCAGCAGUGGGGAAUUUUGCACAAUGGGCGCAAGCCUGAUGCAGCGACGCCGCGUGAGGGAUGACGGCUUUCGGGUUGUAAACCUCUUUUAUCCACCACGAAGGCUCCGUAUUCGCGGGGUUGACGGUAGUGGUUGAAUAAGCGCCGGCUAACUACGUGCCAGCAGCCGCGGUAAGACGUAGGGCGCGAGCGUUGUCCGGAUUUAUUGGGCGUAAAGGGCUCGUAGGCGGUUGAUUGCGUCCGCCGUGAAAGGCCUCGGCUUAACCGGGGUUUUGCGGUGGAUACGGGUCGACUUGAGGCAAUUAGGGGAGAUCGGAAUUCUACGUGUAGCGGUGAAAUGCGUAAAA